This 362-nucleotide ribosomal RNA is filed under the name Odonata sp. 2 MG-2011. RNAcentral describes it as "partial 16S ribosomal RNA". The record is from RNAcentral. Lineage: Eukaryota; Metazoa; Arthropoda; Insecta; Odonata.
UGAUAAUUUUAACGGCCGCGGUAUAUUGACCGUGCAAAGGUAGCAUAAUCAUUAGUCUUUUAAUAGAAGGCUGGAAUGAAGGGUUUAACGAAAAAUUAGCUGUCUCAAUUAUAUUUUUAGAAUUUAGCUUUUAAGUUAAAAGGCUUAAUUUUUGUUGGAGGACGAGAAGACCCUAUAGAGCUUUACAUUUUUAUUUAUUAGUUUUUUUAAGUUUCAUAAUUAAUAUUAGUUUUUAGAAUUGUUUUGUUGGGGUGACAAAAAUAUAUAUUUAACUUUUAUUAUUUUUUUACAUUAAUUUAUGGAUUUUGGAUCCAUCAUGGAUGAUCAUUAAAUAAGUUACCUUAGGGAUAACAGCGUAAUCU